This 253-nucleotide ribosomal RNA is filed under the name uncultured bacterium. Its description in RNAcentral is "partial 16S ribosomal RNA". It matches the Rfam family "Bacterial small subunit ribosomal RNA", at positions 524 to 776 of the family's 1533-position model. The record is from RNAcentral.
UACGUAGGGACCGAGCGUUGUCCGGAUUCAUUGGGCGUAAAGGGCUCGUAGGCGGCCACUCAAGUCGAAUGUGAAACCUCGAGGCUCAACCUCGAGCCUGCAUUCGAUACUGGGCGGCCAGAGUCUGGUAGGGGGAUCUGGAAUUCCUGGUGUAGCGGUGGAAUGCGCAGAUAUCAGGAGGAACACCGGUGGCGAAGGCGGGAUCCUGGGCCAGUACUGACGCUGAUGAGCGAAAGCGUGGGGAGCAAACAGG